Molecule: ribosomal RNA, 250 nt
Filed under: uncultured bacterium
Lineage: Bacteria
Description: partial 16S ribosomal RNA
Rfam family: Bacterial small subunit ribosomal RNA
Source: RNAcentral
CACGUAGGAGGCGAGCGUUAUCCGGAUUCACUGGGCGUAAAGCGCGUGCAGGCGGUUUGGUAAGUUAGGCGUGAAAGCUCCCGGCUCAACUGGGAGAGGUCGUCUAAUACUACCAGACUAGAGAGCAGAAGAGGAAGAUGGAAUUCCGGGUGUAGUGGUGAAAUGCGUAGAUAUCCGGAGGAACACCAGUGGCGAAGGCGAUCUUCUGGUCUGUUUCUGACGCUCAGACGCGACAGCUAGGGUAGUAAAC